RNAcentral lists this long non-coding RNA (281 nucleotides) under Amborella trichopoda. RNAcentral's name for it is "long non-coding RNA (ATRI_LNC005505)". The record is from RNAcentral. Lineage: Eukaryota; Viridiplantae; Streptophyta; Magnoliopsida; Amborellales; Amborellaceae.
GACACUCCAAUCUGGACCAUUGCCCUACCGCUCAGGAAGUUCAUUCCCUGUAUCACAAUCUCUCUCCUUAAGGAGUUCAGUCCUUGAUGACGGCUCUGUUCCCCAUAGAGUCGCAUUCCCUCACCACACGCUGGUUCAUGCUGCAUGACCUUAAACUACACAGCUAUGAUCCACAUUGCAUGACCUUAAACUACACAGCCAUGGUCUGCGCUGCAUGACUUGAAACUGCACAGCUCUAGUCCUAACUGCACGACUUUAAAAUGCAUAAUUAUGGUCCAAAC